AGGAAAAAUAAAUUUUUAUAGAGACAGAGGCACCGGUACCAGAAGUACCAAUAACCCAAAAGGAGUACAACAUGAGAAAAACCAAAUAGAGAACCCAAGCCAGGAGAACAAACAUCUCCAAACAAGACCCCAAGAACAGAUUACUCUAAAAUCUUAACAUCCGAAAACCAAGUUCUAAAAUCAGGAAUGUGAGUCUGCAAAUUAUACGCCAUCUUCCAUCCCCAUACUCUCGACUUGAUUUCCG
RNAcentral lists this long non-coding RNA (244 nucleotides) under Salvia miltiorrhiza (redroot sage). RNAcentral describes it as "long non-coding RNA (SMIL_LNC002207)". Lineage: Eukaryota; Viridiplantae; Streptophyta; Magnoliopsida; Lamiales; Lamiaceae. The record is from RNAcentral.